GCCCUUGUAGCUCAGUUGGUAGAGCAGAUGACUCUUAAUCAUCGGGUCCAAGGUUCGAGUCCUUGCGGGGGCAC
RNAcentral lists this transfer RNA (74 nucleotides) under Pirellula sp. SH-Sr6A. Its description in RNAcentral is "tRNA-Lys". It matches the Rfam family "tRNA". Rfam says of the family: Transfer RNA (tRNA) molecules are approximately 80 nucleotides in length. Lineage: Bacteria; Pseudomonadati; Planctomycetota; Planctomycetia; Pirellulales; Pirellulaceae. The record is from RNAcentral.